GGGGAGGGAGGCAGGGGGAGAGGGCCUCCAGUGGGAAGGAGGUCGGAGACCUGAGACCCCGGUCUCCUCCAGAUCUUCGCGCCCACACCCAAACAAGAUACUGGAAAGAAAAGCCGGAAAACUGGUAUAAAAGUGUUUGACCCCUUUUCUCCUCCAUGUGAAAGGCAAAAUUCUCGCAACGACCUACCAGGCGCUACCCGACCUACCCUCCGCCCAUCCCUGUCUGGGCCUGCAGCCUGGAAACCUGCCUCCGGAGACAUCCCCAUGGGAGCCAGCCGUCAUGCACAGAAAUGUCGGUGAGACUACUGAAUGGUGACCGGCCAGGUGGAGGGAGAAGCCACUUGGGAGAACCAGGAUGCUCCAACCAUCAGCUAGGAUGGCGAUCUUAGGACACGUGAGGCCACGUUGGAUUCUCCAGCCCCACCCCAACACCCAACUAAUACCACACAGGGCAUCCACACUGAGCCCUGCCCAAAUCCUUUUUGUUCCUCCCAAAUUCUUCUUCUUAACGUUUAUUUAUUUUUGAGAGAGAGACAGAGCAUGAGUGGGUAAGGGGCAGAGAGAGGGAGACACAAAAUCGAAAGCAG
Leopardus geoffroyi (Geoffroy's cat) is the source of this 587-nucleotide long non-coding RNA. RefSeq lists it as uncharacterized. Lineage: Eukaryota; Metazoa; Chordata; Mammalia; Carnivora; Felidae. The record is from RefSeq and is a predicted model, not a curated record. The transcript is spliced from 3 exons.